AAUCCCUGAGGCAGAGCAGGGCGUGAGCAGGCAGGCCAGGGCCGGGGGCCCUGCACGCCGGCGGCACCCCCAGCGGGCAGUGCCUCCCCGUGCCUGUCCGUCUGUCUUGUGACUGCGGGUCCCUGUCCAGGCCUUGUUGCUCUCUGCCUUCUGCCUCGCUCUGUGUGCCCUUCUCCCCCGCGCCGUCCCUCCCGCAGCGGACGCCAUCAGGACUGGACGAAGCUGUGGAGGGAGUACUCGCCGUCGGACAGCAGGUACAGGCUGGCCAGCUGCGUGUUGCUGUAACCUGAAGUGACAGGUGAGGUCCUCACAGUGACGAUGCAGCUGGCCCUCCCCCACGGGACCACAGCUGGGUGCCACAGGGAAUGAGCACAAACGCCACCCGCCAGACGACUGCUCACCACACGCUGGCAGGCGGCUGCAGAGGGAGCCGGCCAUGGGGGGCGCACGCAGUCCCAGGGCUACACAGACGUCCAGCAGCUGUCCAGUUCCUAUCUCUGAGGCACCGGUUUUCCUGGCAAUGUCCUCCGCACGCAGGGGGCCUUCAUCUCUCAGUAAGUCGAACACCUUCAUGUUGCAAGCUGUGACCAGGACCUGUGCGGGAGCGGCAGCUGCAGUUAGACUUGGCAUGUGGCUCAUCGAGAGCUCUUCACCCCCACAAAGUGCAAAGUGGGAGGUCCGAACAGGCCAGAUCGUGCCAGUUGUCAGUGGGACUCUCUUCCCCACGGAGGAGAGGGUUGAGCCACUAGCUGGUACCCAUCCUGCACCAGGUGUUUGUUGGCAAUCAGUGCCUACCCACCAGGGAGGCUGUCCGUGGGAGAAAACCCACAUGCAGCUGCAAUGGGCUGCAACCGGCUGAGUCGGGACCACCGAGACCCAGCCGGUGAAGCCCCGAGAGCAGCAGCUCCAAAUGGGACUCGGCCUGGACACAGAGGUCCAGUCCCGGGUGGACCAGUUCCCUACACUUCUCAGGAUGCAUGCCCUCAUGUGGCUUUGAGAAUGGCCACUCAAGCUCUGUCUUUGCCACAGACAACCCCCUGUGGCCGCUGAGGCAUUUCCAUAAAUGCCAGCUGUAUGGAGAAGGAACAAACAGGAUAGACCAGGCAGGUCACCUCCACUCCCAGACCCCCUGAGGCAUUCCUGCUUGGUCAGCAGGCCUGGCCACUGGCAGGCCUUGGAGAUGUGAGGCAAAUGAGAGAACG
Molecule: long non-coding RNA, 1202 nt
Organism: Artibeus jamaicensis (Jamaican fruit-eating bat)
Lineage: Eukaryota; Metazoa; Chordata; Mammalia; Chiroptera; Phyllostomidae
Exons: 4
Source: RefSeq, a predicted model, not a curated record